This 460-nucleotide ribosomal RNA is filed under the name uncultured bacterium. Its description in RNAcentral is "partial 16S ribosomal RNA". It matches the Rfam family "Bacterial small subunit ribosomal RNA", at positions 338 to 795 of the family's 1533-position model. The record is from RNAcentral.
CCUACGUGAGGCAGCAGUGAGGAAUAUUGGUCAAUGGGCGCGAGCCUGAACCAGCCAAGUAGCGUGAAGGAUGACUGUCCUACGGGUUGUAAACUUCUUUUAUAAAGGAAUAAAGUGAGGCACGGGUGCCUUUUUGUAUGUACUUUAUGAAUAAGGAUCGGCUAACUCCGUGCCAGCAGCCGCGGUAAUACGGAGGAUCCGAGCGUUAUCCGGAUUUAUUGGGUUUAAAGGGAGCGUAGAUGGGUUGUUAAGUCAGUUGUGAAAGUUUGCGGCUCAACCGUAAAAUUGCAAUUGAUACUGGCAGUCUUGAGUACAGUUGAGGUAGGCGGAAUUCGUGGUGUAGCGGUGAAAUGCUUAGAUAUCACGAAGAACUCCGAUUGCGAAGGCAGCUUACUAAACUGCCACUGACAUUGAUGCUCGAAAGUGUGGGUAUCAAACAGGAUUAGAUACCCUUGUAGUC